ACGCGUUCACAAUUGUUCACCCUCGACUGAGAUUUGUACAGCUUUGUGCUAAAUUUGAUAACAAUUGAACUGUUUGAUAACAACAAUUUCUAAUUGGUGUAACUAUUAAACGAGAUGUAGCUGAGAUUAUAGUAACUAACCUGACAGCUGCAUUUAUGUCAACGCCCAGCGAGUUAUGCAUUUCGUAAUUUAAGUUUACAAGUGUUGUUGAUAGUACAAAACAAGGGUCGUGAUGGCGCACCCACACUUGCGGGAGGCGGCCGAGUCUCUGCUUAGCAGUGUUAGUCCGCAUCAUAGGACGCUCACACAUUCAACAUCUCUGAACCUAGUAUCAGAUGACCUGGUAGCGGGACACAGGCCACAAGGCAAGAUAUCUACAGUGCGGCGCUUCUUCUGUCUGUUUGUCACGUUCGACCUGCUGUUCACCAGCCUCAUGUGGCUUAUUUGUGUUAUGGUAAGCUUUUACUAUAUUUUCAUUAUAUUCAGCA
Molecule: long non-coding RNA, 488 nt
Organism: Helicoverpa armigera (cotton bollworm)
Lineage: Eukaryota; Metazoa; Arthropoda; Insecta; Lepidoptera; Noctuidae
Exons: 3
Source: RefSeq, a predicted model, not a curated record